RNAcentral lists this ribosomal RNA (468 nucleotides) under uncultured bacterium. RNAcentral's name for it is "partial 16S ribosomal RNA". It matches the Rfam family "Bacterial small subunit ribosomal RNA", at positions 28 to 507 of the family's 1533-position model. The record is from RNAcentral.
GACGAACGCUGGCGGCGUGCUUAACACAUGCAAGUCGAACGGAAAGGCCCUGCUUUUGUGGGGUGCUCGAGUGGCGAACGGGUGAGUAACACGUGAGUAACCUGCCCUUGACUUUGGGAUAACUUCAGGAAACUGGGGCUAAUACCGGAUAGGAGCUCCUGCUGCAUGGUGGGGGUUGGAAAGUUUCGGCGGUUGGGGAUGGACUCGCGGCUUAUCAGCUUGUUGGUGGGGUAGUGGCUUACCAAGGCUUUGACGGGUAGCCGGCCUGAGAGGGUGACCGGCGACAAUGGGACUGAGAGACGGCCCAGACUGCUACGGGGGGCAGCAGUGGGGAGUAUUGCACAAUGGGCGGAAGCGUGAUGCAGCAACGCCGCGUGCGGGAUGCCGGCCUUUGGGUUGUAAACCGCUUUCGCCUGUGACGAAGCGUGAGUGACGGUAAUGGGUAAAGAAGCACCGGCUAACUACGUG